This 411-nucleotide ribosomal RNA is filed under the name uncultured prokaryote. RNAcentral describes it as "bacterial SSU rRNA". It matches the Rfam family "Bacterial small subunit ribosomal RNA", at positions 505 to 918 of the family's 1533-position model. The record is from RNAcentral.
GUGUCAGCCGCCGCAGUACGACGAGUGGCCCGAGCGUUAAUCGGAAUCACUGGGUUUAAAGGGUGCGUAGGCGGCCUGGUAAGUCAGGGGAGAAAGUUUGCCGCUCAACGGUAAAAUUGCCUUUGAUACUGUCAGGCUUGAAUAGGCGCGAGGCAGGCGGAAUGUGACAUGUAGCGGUGAAAUGCAUAGAUAUGUCAUAGAACACCAAUUGCGAAGGCAGCUUGCCAGAGCCUUAUUGACGCUGAGGCACGAAAGCGUGGGGAGCGAACAGGAUUAGAUACCCUGGUAGUCCACGCCCUAAACGAUGCUUACUCGACGUGCGGUUUUCGGAUUGUGCGUCCAAGCGAAAGCGCUAAGUAAGCCACCUGGGGAGUACGCCGGCAACGGUGAAACUCAAAUGAAUUGGCGGGG